This is a long non-coding RNA of Neopelma chrysocephalum (saffron-crested tyrant-manakin), 491 nucleotides long. RefSeq lists it as uncharacterized. NCBI's taxonomy places the organism in Eukaryota, Metazoa, Chordata, Aves, Passeriformes, Pipridae. The transcript has 2 exons. The record is from RefSeq and is a predicted model, not a curated record.
AAUAUUUGGGGACCUCCCCGGAGCCUCCUGACCCUCCUUGGCCCCAAAAACCCCCCAAAAAACCCUUAAAUUGGGUUAAAAUCCCAUUAAAUUUGGUUAAAUCCCACCCGAAAAAAGCGUUUUCACCCACUUGUGGCUUCAUGUUUGUUCUUUUUUUGGGGUUUUUGGGGGGUCCUGAGCACCCCAAAAUUUUGGGGGACCCUCCCCGGACUCUCCUGACCCUCCUUGGCCCCCCUGCACCCCAAAAACCCCCCUUAAAUUGGGUUAAAACCCCAUUAAAUUGGGUUAAAUCCCACCCAAAAAAAGCGUUUUCACCCACUUGUGGCUUCGUGUUUGUUCUUUUUUUGGGGGGUUUUGGGGGGUCCUGAGCACCCCCAAAUAUUUGGGGACCUCCCUGGAGCCUCCUGACCCUCCUUGGCCCUCCUGCACCCCAAAAAUCCCCCUUAAAUUGGGUUAAAAUCCCAUUAAAUUGGGUUAAAUCCCACCCGAAA